UAUCCCCCGUCGUUGUGCCUUGGGCUACACACACGCUACAAUGGGCGGUACAAUGGGUUACAAUGGGGUGACUCGGAGUUAAUCCUAAAAAUCGCCCUCAGUUCAGAUUGCAGGCUGAAACCCGCCUGCAUGAAGUCGGAGUUGCUAGUAACCGCGUAUCAGCAUGGCGCGGUGAAUACGUUCUCGGGCCUU
This 192-nucleotide ribosomal RNA is filed under the name uncultured Chloroflexota bacterium. RNAcentral describes it as "uncultured Chloroflexi bacterium partial 16S ribosomal RNA". It matches the Rfam family "Bacterial small subunit ribosomal RNA", at positions 1190 to 1382 of the family's 1533-position model. Lineage: Bacteria; Bacillati; Chloroflexota. The record is from RNAcentral.